UACGUAGGUGGCAAGCGUUGUCCGGAUUUACUGGGCGUAAAGGAUGCGUAGGCGGACAUUUAAGUCAGAUGUGAAAUACCCGAGCUUAACUUGGGUGCUGCAUUUGAAACUGGGUGUCUAGAGUGCAGGAGAGGUAAGUGGAAUUCCUAGUGUAGCGGUGAAAUGCGUAGAGACUAGGAAGAACACCAGUGGCGAAGGCGACUUACUGGACUGUAACUGACGCUGAGGCAUGAAAGCGUGGGGAGCGAACAGG
RNAcentral lists this ribosomal RNA (253 nucleotides) under uncultured bacterium. RNAcentral's name for it is "partial 16S ribosomal RNA". It matches the Rfam family "Bacterial small subunit ribosomal RNA", at positions 524 to 776 of the family's 1533-position model. The record is from RNAcentral.